CCAGGACUACAUUUAGCCCUGUGACCGGAGAUGGCCUUACCAUCCUAAAUUAGUAGACUACUCGUGGAUUUGCUCUCCAUAUGUUUACUUUGUCUGUUCACUUGUACAGUGUUGGGCAUGUCGGAGAUAUAUCCUUUUUCGCUUUGACUAGCAUUCUAAACAUGCAAUAUGCACACGUAACCAAAUUGAAUGCCCCUCUCUUCCCAGCGCCGCACUGCCCCAUUUGGGGACGAGGUCUGUCCCUCCUCCCCUCUCCUUCUCUUUCGUGCUGCUACCUCCAUAUCUUCCCUGCCUUGGUUUCUUUUGGUGGGUCUGGUCUUAUACCUUCGAUUUGAGCCUGUUUUGGUUGUGCAUGUGGUUUUCUUGGUGAGGUUGUUUGCUUCUCCAUCUUGUGGUGUGGUGACUACUUAAGCCUUAGGCUCUGCUAUGAGAUUUGAUGUCUCAUAACGAUUUUGUGUCCCCCUUUCUUUGCCAAGCACCCCAUACAACCAAAUCUACUUCCUCCUCCACAUUCCAUCCUCUUCUUGCCUUUUCCUCAUUCUGGAUUUAGGUUCUCCUGUGGGUUACAUCAACUACUUCUAUAUGCGUUUUUCCUCGUCUGCCUAGGAAUGUGCUUCAAGCUCUUGCUACGGUUCUAGCUCUGGUGCUUGCACCACUACUUUCCACUCUCUUGGUGUUGAUCUACAAGUAUAUACCAUGGUGUUGUUGUGAUUGGUUGUUGUUUUUCCUUGGGUUCAUUGGCGGAUUUGGGUGCGAUGGAGGAGGUGACUCUUGGAUGAUUGUGGGUGUGUUGAUGUAUUUAUGUGUUUUGCGAAAUUUUUGUUCUUGACGGAUGAUCAGUGGGUCUCUAUGUGCAGUGGUGUUGAUUUGUGUGGAGGAAGUGUUUCUCCUCUUUUGUGGCCAUUUUGGUGCAGUCCCUGUUCCCUUAGCGAUGAUGGUGGUUUUUUUUUUUUUUUUACUUUGUUUGAUUUUGUGAUGGAGAAGAUUUAUUGUGCUAGACUGUAUUGGUUUUAGCUUAAUCUUUCAUAUGCUUGUUGUACUCUGUUCAUGACCUCUUCGGCUCCUAUAUUUGUUAGGGGUGGGCACUCAAACCGGUGAACCGAAAAUCCGAGCCGAACCACACCGAAUCAAACCGGAAAAAAACCGAAUUGAUCAAAAAGUAAAAAACCAGUCAAAAACCGAAUCGGACCGGUUUGGACAGGUUCCGGAUCCGGUUCCAUGUCUUCAAAAACCAAACCGGGCCGAACCGAACUGGUGAAACUAAAAAAAUAUAUAAUUUAAAUAUAUAUUUAUAUUUAAUGCUAUAUUUUUAAUUUCACUAAAAAAAACCUAAUAUUUAUCCAAGUUCAAUGUCAAAAUAUCUCUCUUUUCUCACUUUAAUAUUUAUUUUUUAUAUGAAAUUGAAUAAUUUGUUAAUUUUCAAGUAAAAAAAUAAUAUUUCAGUUGAGAAUUGUAUUAAAAAAUAAUUUUUAUAAUCCGGUUCAAAAUCGAACUGGAACCGGAACCAGACAGAAACCGGUUCAAACCAAACCGGACAGUUUUUGAAAUUUUUUUAUUAAAACUGAACCGAACCAAACCGGAUGAAUAGUACCGAAUCGGUUUUAAUUUGAGGCAAAAACCGGUUCAAACCGAACCGUACCCACCCUUAAUAUUCGCUAUUUUUCCUUCCUUUUUUUUUGGGGUUUGAAUGAACUUCAAAAAAAAAAAAAACAAAAAAAAAACCGAUUGCUGUUUAUGAGUGAGUGAGAAAGAAGAGUAGGAAAAGUAUUGAUUUUCUAACCCAUCUUUUUUCAUUUCUUUUUCCAAAGUAUUAUAAUCAAGUUUUAUCCUCAUAAUCACACAAGUUUGUAUUAUUGUUGGACAGGUGGAUCUCUUUGUAAAACCUGAAACUAUUAAGAAACAGACAAGGGGUUUGGUAAAAGCAAGAAAAGGAAACCAAUCGCUAAUCACAAGUGAUUCUGCUUUUAAUUAGCUAACCUAUUUGGGCACUAGUAGUAUAUUAUUAUCUUUUCUAAUACACCAUUCAAACAACUUUUAAGAAUUCAAUUCAUCUACCAAAAGUUGCCCACAUCGGGGGAUGCUCGUGUAUCAUGAGCAUCAAGUGAUUCAAAUACGAGAGACCGAGGAAGAUAAGGGAAAGGGACAAUGGUUGGAAUUCCAGCAUACUUUUUGUGGAAUAUACUUAAAUGCGUUCGAUGAGUAAUACGUGCACACACCAACUCUUGUCCUAACCCGCUUUCAUUGAAUGGACCCACUCAUGACUCUCACAGUAUGUGCAAGAGUUAUGAUAAAAUACAGUUGAAAAAGAGUUUGGUGUGUCUAGCAUUAUACUCGAGUAAAAGACCAUUUUAAAGAGUGCUGUUAUUUCCACUCAUCUGUCAUAUUUUCUCACCCACAUUAUUUUUAAAAUUUUAAAAACAAAUUUAUUCUUUUGUAAAAUGACUUAUAAGUACAAAUGCCCCUCCUCCCUCUCCACGUACGCUCUUGUCCUCACUAUCUCCCUCUCUGAACUUUCUCCCAGUCUCCUCCUACCUCUCAAGGCGUUCUCUCUCUCUCCCUCUCUGUAUAUGCUUGCAUGUUUUUGAACUUUGAAGUGGAACUUCAGUUUGCAUAGUGUUCUUGUGGUUGAUUUAGUUUGUGGGUUUUAAUCGUUGUACAACUUGAUGAAGAUGGUUGGUUUGUUUUUUUUUGUUUUUGUGCAGCAAAUGCAAUCCAGAAUGUGGUGAUAAUUGUUUGUGUUGUUUCUGUUAGCUUUCUCACUAGGAGUCGUAGGUUCAACUAUGAAUUUUACAGUUUUAAGGGUAAAAGGCCCUCAAUGCAGGAUUAUUUUGAGGCAAAUAUAUCUGACGUUGAUGGCCAGAUGGUUUCAUUUUUUGGUGUUUUUGAUGGUACAAUAAAAUUCAAGUUGUUCAUUCGGGAAUUUGUAGGACUUAAAUAAUUAGUAAUUAUAGGGUAUUUUAGGAAUAAUGGUGGGUGUAAAGAAAAGAUUGUAUUUUUUUAAAUGUACAUAGUGGGUGGGAAGAUAAGGUGGGUGGGAAGAUAAGGUGGGUGGAAAAAUAGGAUUGGGGGAUGGAAAUAGUAGCACUCAUUUUAAAAUAUUGCGACAACAAAACUAGGGCUCGUUUGGUAUUCUACUUAAAAAAUGAACUCAAAAAUCAUGAGUUUUUAAAUACUGAUUUUAGGAUCUAAAAACUUGUUUGGUAUUGAACUCGAAACUAUUUUAAGAUCUAAAAAAAUUAAAUUAAAAUUAAAAAAAAUCAAAAACCCUAAUUCCCAAUUAAAAUUAAAAAAAGAAAAGGAGAGAGAGAGAGAGAGAGAGAGAGAGAGAGAGAGAGAGAGAGAGAGAGAGAGAGAGAGAGAGAGAGAAAUUGUAAAACCUCACUUUUUAUUUAUUUAUUUAAAUAAUGAGGGUGUUUAAAAUCUGUUUUUGAGUUUAUAAAAUUAGAUCCAAGUAGAAUACCAAAAGACCCCUUAGACAUCCAAUGGAAUAACACACUCUCUAUCUUAUAUAAGAAAAUUAACUGCACAAAACAAGAACCGUGCGACGACCAAGGCAAAGACAUCUUUUCAUUUCUUGGUGAGCUCCAUCUCUAUUAGAGAGGUAGUACACAAGUUGCUAUCUAAAGUUAGUCUCCCUAGCAUGCAUAUCGUUGUCUUGCCUAAUUCUAUUAACAGCUAAGAAAAAAAAAUUAUUAUUGUGCAUAUUUCUUGUGCUUUGGAAAUUGGAAUAGCAAGUACAGAUUCUGAUCACUUUCACAGCAACUCAUGAAGCCCAUUUUUCACUGAAUCUUAAGUUGCACCAACAAGGUUUAGUAAAAUUUAAAAAGCAACAUUGUCAUACCAAAGCACUAACAUAAACAGGAUUACUUUUGUGUUGGUCUACCAACAUUAUCUAAAGGUAGACUUCGGUCGGAGAAGACGGUGGAGGAUUGGUGAGCAUGUUAACGACUGCCCUCAUUGUAGGUCUUGCGCAGCUGUCGUUCUCGACACACAUCAUUGCUAUGUUGAACACGUACAGGACACCUUGCAAUGGGUACCCGCUGAGCUUGGGAUCUACCAGUGCCAAUAGUACUGCUGGUGAUGCAGGAGAUGGCUUAUAAGGGAUUUUUGACGUGGUCUUCCUCACCCAACUCACUAUGUUCAUGUCCUCAUCUUCCAAGUUCAUCACCGGUUUCCUCCCAGUUAUUAGCUCCAGCAGCACCACACCGAAACUGUACACGUCAAUUUUCUCAUCCACUUUCAGCGUAUAACC
RNAcentral lists this long non-coding RNA (4252 nucleotides) under Prunus persica (peach). Its description in RNAcentral is "long non-coding RNA (PPER_LNC006161)". Lineage: Eukaryota; Viridiplantae; Streptophyta; Magnoliopsida; Rosales; Rosaceae. The record is from RNAcentral.